RNAcentral lists this transfer RNA (87 nucleotides) under Acetobacter orleanensis. Its description in RNAcentral is "tRNA-Leu". It matches the Rfam family "tRNA". From Rfam's summary of the family: Transfer RNA (tRNA) molecules are approximately 80 nucleotides in length. Lineage: Bacteria; Pseudomonadati; Pseudomonadota; Alphaproteobacteria; Acetobacterales; Acetobacteraceae. The record is from RNAcentral. RNAcentral also lists the same sequence under 4 other names.
GCGGUCGUGGCGGAAUGGUAGACGCGCAAGCUUGAGGUGCUUGUGGGGGAAUACCCCGUGGAAGUUCGAGUCUUCUCGACCGCACCA